UAAUCCCUUUCUCCACCAAAGUAGAUUUGUUGCUUUGCUGACAAAACCUCUGUGCACUUGGCUUUUAGGGUAUUUCUCCAGAACAUUGCUUCUCAAAGUGUGGCCCUGGAGGCAGCAGCAUUGCAUCACCUGGGAACUUGGUAGAAAUGCAGAUUCUCAGGUCUCACCCUGACCUACUGAAUCAGAAACCCUGGGGGUGGGACCCAGCCGGCUGUGUAUUAACAACUCCUCUGGGGAUGCUAAUACCUGCUCCAGACUGAGAAGCACUGCUCCAGAUCUUACUGGAAGACCGCCAAACAGAUGAGUCCCCUGGAAUGCCCUGGAGGGAGUUAGCAAAACCAAACUGGAUUUAGAGGUCCUUGGAAAAUGGAGAAAAAAGAUACAUUUUCACUGUGGAAUUGCAAGUCCCAGUGUGGCAGCCAUGGAAAUGCACACACAGAUCGCCCUACAGAAGAGAACUUGCUUGAAGAGAGCCAUUGGCUGACACUCUAGCUGCUACACCUUUGGAUGCCCUGCAGCAUUCCUGCUAAGGCCACCCUCCCUAGGCUGUUCCAAACUGAUGACAGAACACGGUGGGGAGAAUAGUGCUGGGCCAUUCCUUCCUGACAGGGGACCCCUCUGAUGGGCAGUCUGUGCUCUGGGGCUCCCCAUCAGCCUGGCUGAGACUUUCUCAGAGCUGCACUACUGGAUGAGGCUCUCCCUACCCACCCAUCCUUCCUUCCCACAGGGGUCAGACCUGCCUCCCUGUCUGAAGGCCCUCUUGGCCCAUUCCUGCUUCCUCUCUCAUUUUGUUUCUUGGUGUUUCCCUCAAUAAAUCUCUUGCAAGUCUAA
Non-coding RNA from Macaca mulatta (Rhesus monkey), 831 nucleotides. Lineage: Eukaryota; Metazoa; Chordata; Mammalia; Primates; Cercopithecidae. The record is from RefSeq and is a predicted model, not a curated record.